RNAcentral lists this unclassified non-coding RNA (138 nucleotides) under soil metagenome. RNAcentral describes it as "partial internal transcribed spacer 1". The record is from RNAcentral.
CAAGAAACGAGGCUACGUGCCCCGCUCUUUACCUUGCCUACUGCACUAUCUGUUGCUUCCUGGCGGCGGUUCGCCUGCCGCCAGGGACAUUGUAAAGCCCUGUAUAAGCAUUAAAAAACUGAAACAAACCGAAUCGUA